RNAcentral lists this long non-coding RNA (8128 nucleotides) under Brassica rapa (field mustard). RNAcentral describes it as "long non-coding RNA (BRAP_LNC006235)". The record is from RNAcentral. Lineage: Eukaryota; Viridiplantae; Streptophyta; Magnoliopsida; Brassicales; Brassicaceae.
AUGAGAAUGGUGUUCUGUAUGAGGAUACCAAACGAUGCAGCGCAUGCACCCAUCCCAUCGGUCUCCAUUCCUUUUAUGACUGUAUGGAUUGUGAUUUUUCUCUCCAUCAGAAGUGUGCUGAAUGUCCUAAAAGGAAACGACAUGUGCUACACAAUGACCGGCUCACUUUAGUUUCAAACAAGGAGCUAAAAGUCUUCGUUUGUUAUGCUUGCCAUCGAAGGUCCAAUGGUUUCAUGUACAAGCAUGGGUGUAUGGAGUUAGAUGUGUUGUGCGGUUCAAUUUCUGAGCCAUUUCUCCAUCCAAGUCACCCCCACCAUCCCUUAUAUUUUAUUCCAACAGAAGAAGAUGGAAUAUGCAAUGGUUGCAACACCAAGGAAUUUCGUCUACUCAAGUGCAUUGAAGAUGAUUGUGGAUUUGUAAUAUGCUUCAAAUGCGCCACUCAACCAAAAGUGGUUAAGCACAGAGUAGACGAUGAUCCUUUCUCACUAUGCUAUGGCGAAGAAGAAGAAGAAGAAGCAAGUGGUAAAUACUGGUGUGGCAUUUGUGAGAAAGAAACCAAUCCAAAGAAAUGGUUCUACACUUGUAAAGAUCACUUGGCUAGUUUGCAUACAAAGUGUGUGCUCGGAGACUUAGGAGGGCUCAUGCCAAGAAGCGUAGCAAAGUUGUGGGGCACAUCGUAUGAGGUGGUGCUCAACAAUAGUGUAACUCGCCCAUUUUGCAUCUGGUGUAAGUAUCGUUGCAUGUACCAUAUCUACCUCAAGGUGCUUGGAAACUCAGAGACGUACUAUUGCUCUUUUCGUUGUUUAUAAUUCUUUAAAUGGAGACAUGGUCUGCUUGGAACCUCAGAGACAUACAUUAAAACUGUAGUGUAAAAAAAGUAGGCCAUGGAGGCAAGAUGUCUAUUCAUUUAAGUUUCUUAUAUUCUUCAUUGGACAAGUUCAUUUCCACUAUGGGUUGAUCUCCCUAAUCUACUUAUCUUAUCCAUAAGGUUUGCUAUAAAAAAAAAUGUGAGCUGUUUUCUUAGCAAACAAGAAUUUUGGUGGUUGAGUUUUAAUUCCGUUUUAUUUGAAAGUAACCUCUGAAAUUUUACAAGGCUCAUGCCAAGAAGCGUAGCAAAGCUUUGGUGCUAGAAAAAUCGAAUGAGGUUGCAUUUAUCCUAUCAAGUUUCUUGGAACCUUGGGGACAUGCAUUUGCUCAAAUGAUUGCGAACUUUCAUUUUAUUUGAGGUCCAUCGCCUUUUAUGAAAUGUUGUUACUCUGCUAUUAGGGAUUUGUUUACAGAAAGUAUCCACAUUUCUGGCAAAUGCAUUGGACACAUUUGAGUUUGCAAGGAUCUAGGCAAGCUUAAAAAAGUCCCACAAAAUAUUCACCAUUACCAGGCCUGAAUCCACAACCAUAAAUCAUGUUUAUACAUACGGGAUCAAUAAAUGUGAGCAACUUUUAUCAUUGUAUAUGACUAUUAAAUGCUUGUAUCACGAGCAUCUAUGAUGACUUUCAAUGAUAUGAGGAAGCUAGCGUGUGCCAUUGCUCAAUCAGUUUGAAGUGGGUCUUGGCAGCAAAUGGUUCCCUUUGGACACUCCUGCAACUCCGGAACGUAUCAGGAUGGCUUGUUUCGAUGAGUUUACUUGUCCUUUUAGAUUUCUGCCCUAAGCUUAGUGUUUGAGACAAGAGGAGGGUAAUCUCACAGGUUUUCCCGACAUAAGCAGUAACUUCUGUACCAAGUAUGAGACUUUCGCUUAUGUUUCCAAAUUCACUGUCUAUUCAGGAAGGGUUGUUUUGAAUUAUAUGUAUACCGUCAAGUCUCAUCCCUUAUGUUAUGUGACCCACCAUCAUCCCUUGUAUUACGUACAUAUUCAUAUGGACGACGAUGAAACCUGUAGUGGUUGCAACUUGGCGUUUUUGCGCACACAGAGAAACUGAGAACUGACUUUCUCAGUCAAUUGCGUAACCGUUAGAGUAUCAAAUCACAUUUACUUAUUUAAUAGGAUUAGGCACGGCAUAUACCUUGGAAAGCUGUUUAUUCAAUAUACUAAUGUACAGCUAGUGCAAUUAUUAUUUUCACAUGCCACCAUCCCAUAUAUCGACAAGUUCUACGAGAAAAGAAAAAUAAUUUAUCAUUAGCUGUAUUGUCAGUUUCUGUCAUAAAUAAGUAAACAUAGUGAACUAAUUAAUCAACAAUGAUUAACUAUUUUAAAAUGACAACCAAAAGUCAGACAUGAACAGUAAGUCUAUUAUUUUUAUAAGAAGGUCUUUGAGAUUAACCAUCUAAUCUUGCGUUGAAAAUUUGAUCUAGCUUUGAGAAUACCCAUCUUCUUUCCCAAAUGGAAUCUGAGGGAGGAGUGUUGUUACCAUUGUUUCACGAGCAUCCUAUGACGCCUUGGAAUGAUCAUAUGAGGAAAGGUGAUUGUUGUGAUUGCUUUGAACCUCAGAGUGAUGGCUACUAUUGUAAACUCUGUGAUUUCUUCGUGCACAAGAAAUGUGGUGACGAGCUCUCUGAAUUCAUCAUCGACCACCCUUUUCACCCCAAUCACACUCUCCGGCUUCAAGAAAAACGAGGUAAUUCUUGCAGUAUAUGUGGAAGUAAAAUCCAGAAUCUAUGCUAUCGUUGUGAGGUGUGUGACUUUGAAAUGGAUCUACAUUGUGCCAAGUACCCACCACCAGAUGUUAUUGACAAUUUUGAGAUGCAUCCCCAACAAGCUCACACUUGUCAAGAAAAAGACCACCUUCUUCUACUGUUCUGCAAAUUGCGGGAAGACUUCUCGAAAUGGUGUUGGAAUUUGUUGGGGAUUUCCUUACAUAUGUGAAGAAUGUGAAGAUUUAGCCUUCCACGUGGACUGUGUAUGGCACCCAGACGCACUAGAUCACCAACCAGAGGUAAACCACCCUUAUCACUCCUUGCAUCCUCUUAAGCUCCUUACGGGUGAACCACCAAACUAUUCCGAUGGUAAAUGUCGUCUUUGCGGAAGAAAGGUUAGAUAAAGAAUUGUUUUAUCAUUGUUCUUCUUGUAACUUCACUUUGGAUUGGCGUUGUGUUGUGAAUCCACCACCACAAUCUGUUGUCGAUUUGAAAGAUCAUGAUCACCAGCUCACCCUUCUUCCAAGACUCCUUUCUUUUACGUGUAAUGUUUGCGGUCUCAAGGGAGAUCGAAGCCCUUACAUGUGUGUUCAAUGUGAUUUCAUGAUCCAUCAUUUCUGUCUUGGCCUUCCACGUGUCAUUAACAUCAAUCGCCAUGAUCAUCGUGUUUCUCGUACUUUGCUUCUUGGUGUUGUGAAUUCUGUAUGCGGAGUUUGUCGCAAGAAGGUGGACUGGACUUGUGGGGGAUUUUCUUGUAAGAGGUGCCCUGGCUAUGUCGUUCAUUCUAAAUGUGCCGCCAGAAAUGAUGUGUGGAACGGAGAAGAACUCGAAGGAGUACCUGAAGAAGAAGAAGAUGUAGAACCCUAUGUGGUGAUAGGUGACAACACAAUACGACAUUUCAGCCAUGAAGAGCAUAACCUAAGACGAAUCCAUGGGAAUGGUAUUAUGUAUGAGGAGAACAAGCGAUGCAGUGCAUGCGUCCAUCCCAUCGGCCUCCAGUCCUUUUAUAGCUGUAUGGAAUGUGAUUUUUCUCUCCACCAUAACUGUGCUAAAUGUCCAAAAAAGAAAUGGCAUGUAGUACUACACAACGAAAGACUCACAUUAGAUACAAACGAGGAGCAAGAUUGGUUCGCUUGUGAUGCUUGUGAUGGAGUGUCCAAUGGUUUCAUGUACAAGGAUGGGGAUAAGACGUUAGAUGUCUUGUGCGGUUCAAUAUCUGAGCCAUUUGUCCAUCCAAGUCACCCCCACCAUCCCUUAUAUUACAUUCCAACAGAGAUAGAUGGAAUAUGCAAUGGUUGCAACAGCAAGGAAGAUUAUGUGCUCAGGUGCAUUGAAGAUGAUUGUAGAUUUGUAUUGUGCUUCAAAUGCGCCACUCUACCACAAGUGGUAAAGCACAUAGUAGACGAUCAUCCUCUCUCACUCUGCUAUGGCGAAGAAGAGGCAAGUGGUAAAUACUGGUGUGACAUUUGUGAGGGAAAAACCAAUCCACAGAAAUGGUUCUACACUUAUAAAGAUCACCUGGCCAGUUUGCAUACAGAGUGUGUGCUCGGGAAAUUUUCAGGGCUCAUGCCAAGAAGCAUAGCAGAGUCGCCGGACCACUCGUUUGAGGUGGUGCUCAAUAAUAGUGUAACUCGCCCAUUUUGUAGUGUGUGUAAGUCUCGUUGCAUGUACCCUAUCAACCUCAAGCUUCUUGGAACCUCAGAGAGAUACUUGUGCUCUAUUGAUUGCGUUAAUUUGUUUUUCAAAAAACCUGUAGUGUAAUAAAGUACACCAUGGAGGCAAAGAUGUUUGUCCGUUUCAGUUUCUUAUAUUCUUACUUGGACAAGUUCACUUUCAUUAUAAGUUGAUUUCCCUAAUGUAUUUAUCUUAUCCAUAAGGUCUGCUAUAACCAAACGAGCUGUCUUCUCAAAAGAAUAUAGUAUAACUAGAGUUGUUCGCACAUGUCAGCCAUUUCUUUGGUGUUGUCUCCGCCUUAUUGAAACAUUAUCUGUCUCUUCUCUUGGGUUGAAAAUAUGCAGUACUGAAUCAGCAAAGAAUCCACAGGCUUAUUCCUCAGAUCCUCUGGUUGGUACGAAUAUCAAACUUGAAGAGCAAGAUACCGGAGAAGAAGCUCUUGUUGCAUCUAAUGGAAGGUGGAUUUGAAUGCGGAAAAAGGAAGAAGCAGUUCCUCCUGCCAAGUUCUGAAACGAUACCGAGCGACUUCAGCUCAUUAACAGCAAAGGAAACGUCUAGUGGAUCUCAAAUCAAGCGUGUCAUUGAUUAUAGCUUGAUUCUCUGUUGAUUAUAACUUUCCUUUCUGUAUGUAACCAAAAAUAAGAGAGAAAUCUAUCCACAAACAUAUGCCCAUAAUGAGCUACACUUGGACUAAAACUCCAAGCUUUGGGUGAAUGUUUUUUCCACACAAAAAGCCUGAUUGCCUAUGUAAAAUUUAUCCGACACAUAUUAUCAGAGCUUCCUUAUUAAGAAGAUCCCUGAUAGGUACUGAGAUAGUGCUGACUUGGCACCUGCAACAUAAUAAGCAAAGAGGCUCUGUUUUGGUCUGAGGGUUUUCUCUUAGAGACCACAAGGAGUAUAACUGGAAGAGACGAGAGCCUUAGAAGAUUAUGCUGAAUAUUGUGGAAACUUGUAUAAGACGUUAUGAGUCUCUGUGAUUUAUGAUCGCCAUGAGAUCAUGAAUGGAGCUUGGGAUGAGAUCUUAGCUUGAGUUUCUACUCUAUGUCUGCUUGUAACUGCUCUAAUUCUAUCAAUAAAGGAGUUACAUGAUCAGAUUCAUAACAAUCCCAUCAUUUUUUUUUCUAAAUCAGAAACUCUCUCACAGUUGUUACAAGGAUUUUAUGUAAAAACAAAUUGGUUUGGCAUUGUGUUUUUAUGUAAAUCUGAAAAUGGUGACUAAAUGAUGUCAAAUACAAUAUACAGGUAUGUGCGAGUGUUCAUAUGUCCGGCUUUCAUCAGUCUGCUAAAUCUAACUUUUAAAGUAAUAUGACAUGAGUGUUCUUCACCAUUCUUUUACAUAUGCUUAGAUGUCUAUAAAUGGUCUUUUUGUUCAAAAACUAAUUUAUUUUCCCUGCAAAGGUUUGCAGAUAGUAGAACACUACUUGGCAGAUCUGAAAUCUCCUUGACAACUUUACUACACAAUGAACACCUUACUUUAGUUAUAAGCAAAAGAUUGGUUUCUUUUGGUGUUGAUGAUGCUUGUAGGAGAAUAUCCAACGGUGUCAGAUACUUGCAUGGAGAUGAGAAGUUUGAUGCCCUGUGCAGUUCAAUUCCUGAGUCAUUUUUUUCCGUAAUCAUCCCAGAAAACAAGCAUAGAGUCUGCUUGAAUUGUUGCAAUAGUUCUGGCAUAGUUGCAGUGCUCAGUUGCACUGAAGAUGAUUGUCAAUUUUUCUUAUGCUUGGGAUGUUCCAUUCUACCAAAAGUGGCAAAGCAUAGGUUGAUGACUAUAUUCUCUCACUAUGCUAUGGAGAAAAGGCAAAUGGUAAAUACUGGUAUGACAUUUGUGAGAAGGAAACCAAUGCAAAGAACUGGUUCUACACGUGUGCGCUCGGAGACACUAGGUGGCUCAUGCCAGGGAACACACUGAAGUACUUUGGCAUACCAUUUGAGGUGGUGCUCAAUAGAGGUAUAUCCUGUCCACUUUGCAGGCGCUGCAAGUCGCAUAGCAAUACGCUAUCAUCUUAAAGGUGCCUGGAACUUCAGGUAAAUACUUUGCUCUGUGAGGUGAAUUAGGAAGCUUCUCUUUGGGUUCCAUGUUAUAAUCAACCCCUCUCACAAUUUCAAGAGUAAUCUGCACUAGUAACUAAGGUUGAAAAAUAUUAUAAGCAUUUUGAUUAGACAAGCGGAAGUGAGUAUACAAGUUUGUAAUUAUGUUUGUCUAAGUAAACAUCUGAGACUGUUUUUUCUAUCUUCCUUUCUUAAUUCCUGCAAAAGUAUGCUAGUGAUUUUGCAAGAGCCAAAAAAAACAUGACUAGUAUGCCUGAAAUAAACAACUUUUCUUAUUCUUAUAUACUUUCCAGACAGAUAUAUCUGAAAGGUAGAAAAAAAAAAGAGACUACUGUUGCGGCAAUUAUUGAUAGCAGCAAUUAUUGAUAGCAGCAGAGACACGUUUUUUAUCAGGGGUUUUAUAGCUUUGAGGAUACAACCAACACCAUUAUUCAAGAGAUCUCCAUUAUUCGACUUUCCUCUUUCUUCAUCUUCUUUAGAGAGCAAAUGGAAUCUGAGGGAGUGUUGUUACGGCCAUUGUUUGACGAGCAUCCUAUGAUGCCUUGGAAUGAUCUGAGGAGAGGUGAUUGUUGUCAACGCUUUAAAUCUAUGAGUGAGGGCUACUAUUGUAAAAUCUGUGACUUUUUCGUCCACAAGAAAUGUGGCAACGACGAGCUCUCUGAAUUCAUCCACCACCCAUCUCACCCCAAUCACCCUCUCCAGCUUCGACACGAAUCACCUAACUAUUGUGAUUUUUGUGGUUGGAAAAUCUCAAAGCUAUUCUACCGCUGUGACGUGUGUAACAUCGACUUGGAUCUACACUGUGCCAAGCGCCAACCACCAAAUGUUAUUGACAAUUUUGAGACGCACCCCCACAAGCUCAUACUUCUCAAGGAAUGGACUCAGUUCGCCUGUUCUGAAUGCGGGAAGGGUCCUGGUGGACUUCCUUACAAAUGUCAUGAAUGCAUAUGUCCUUCCACGUGGAUUGUGUAUGGCCCCCAGCAACAAAGCUAAAUUACUCGCCAGAGGUAAACCAUCCUUACCACUCCUUGCAUCCUCUUAAGCUCCUCACAGGUCCACCACCAGACUAUUCUGAUGGUAAAUGUCGUCUUUGCGGAACAGAGAUUGGUGAAUAUUUUUAUCAUUGUUCUUCUUGUAAUUUCACCGUGGAUUUGCCUUGUAUUCUGCACCCACCACCGCAAGCUGCUGUGGAUUUGAAAUCUCAUGAUCACCAACUCACCCUUCUUCCACGACUGCUUUCGUUUACGUGUAAUGCUUGCGGUCUCAAGGGAGAUCGAAGCCCUUACAUGUGCGUUCAGUGUGAUUUCAUGAUUCAUCAAGACUGUCUUGGCCUUCCACGUGUCAUUAACAUCAAUCGCCAUGAUCACCGUAUUUCUCGUACUUUGCUUCUUGGUGAUGGUGCUAUGAAUUCUGUGUGCGGAGUUUGUCGUGAGAAGGUGGACUGGACUUGUGGCGGGUUUUCUUGUCAGAGGUGUUCUGGUUAUGUUGUUCAUUCUAAAUGUGCUACCAGAAAUGAUGUGUGAAGAAGUACCUGAAGAAGAAGAAGAUAUAGAACCAUAUGUGGUGACAGACGACAACACAAUACAUCAUUUUAGCCACAAAGAGCAUUACCUAAGACGAAUCCAUGGGAAUGGUAUAUUGUAUGAGAAUAACAAACGAUGCAGCGCAUGCAUCCAUCCCAUCGGUCUCCAAUCCUUUUAUGGAUGUAUGGAUUGUGAUUUUUCUCUCCAUCAGAAGUGUGCUGAAUGUCCUAAAAAGAAAAGGCAUGUGCUCCACAAUGAUCGGCUCACUCUAGUAACAAACAAAGAGCUAGAAGUUUUCGAAUGUGUUGCUU